CUUCCCGCGGUUAGACGGAAAGCCCCCGUGCACCUUUACUACAGCUUUGCAGUGGUAUCAGGAUGUGAAUGUGCAGAAUAGGUGGGAGGCUUUGAAGCCAUGGCGCCAGCCAUGGUGGAGCCACCUUUGAGAUACCACCCUUUUGCUUCCUGAUAUCUAACCGAGGUCCGUUAUCCGGAUCCGGGACCCUGCAUGGCGGGUAGUUUGACUGGGGCG
RNAcentral lists this ribosomal RNA (216 nucleotides) under Paramoeba aestuarina. RNAcentral describes it as "partial Bacterial large subunit ribosomal RNA". It matches the Rfam family "Bacterial large subunit ribosomal RNA", at positions 2066 to 2281 of the family's 2925-position model. Lineage: Eukaryota; Discosea; Flabellinia; Dactylopodida; Paramoebidae. The record is from RNAcentral.